GCUAUGGCUGAAUGGCAGAGCCCUUUCUUUGCAUGCAAAAGGUCCCAGGUUCAAUCCCUGGCAUAUAUCCA
Podarcis lilfordi (Lilford's wall lizard) is the source of this 71-nucleotide non-coding RNA. The record is from the annotation of a GenBank genome assembly. Lineage: Eukaryota; Metazoa; Chordata; Lepidosauria; Squamata; Lacertidae.